AGCGAACGCUGGCGGCAGGCUUAACACGUGCAAGUCGAACGGGCUUCUUCGGAAGUCAGUGGCAGACGGGUGAGUAACACGUGGGAACGUGCCCUUCGGUUCGGAAUAACUCAGGGAAACUUGAGCUAAUACCGGAUACGCCCUUUUGGGGAAAGGUUUACUGCCGAAGGAUCGGCCCGCGUCUGAUUAGCUUGUUGGUGGGGUAACGGCCUACCAAGGCGACGAUCAGUAACUGGUCUGAGAGGAUGAUCAGCCACACUGGGACUGAGACACGGCCCAGACUCCUACGGGAGGCAGCAGUGGGGAAUAUUGGACAAUGGGCGCAAGCCUGAUCCAGCCAUGCCGCGUGAGUGAUGAAGGCCUUAGGGUUGUAAAGCUCUUUUGUCCGGGACGAUAAUGACGGUACCGGAAGAAUAAGCCCCGGCUAACUUCGUG
Molecule: ribosomal RNA, 435 nt
Filed under: uncultured bacterium
Lineage: Bacteria
Description: partial 16S ribosomal RNA
Rfam family: Bacterial small subunit ribosomal RNA
Source: RNAcentral